RNAcentral lists this non-coding RNA (241 nucleotides) under Clostridium botulinum. RNAcentral describes it as "T-box sequence". It matches the Rfam family "T-box leader". From Rfam's summary of the family: Uncharged tRNA acts as the effector for transcription antitermination of genes in the T-box leader family. T-boxes are found upstream of many aminoacyl-tRNA synthetase genes and some amino acid biosynthetic genes usually in Gram-positive bacteria. The anticodon of a specific tRNA base pairs to a specifier sequence within the T-box motif, and the NCCA acceptor tail of the tRNA base pairs to a conserved bulge in the T-box antiterminator hairpin. Lineage: Bacteria; Bacillati; Bacillota; Clostridia; Eubacteriales; Clostridiaceae. The record is from RNAcentral.
UUAAAGACAGUGAUAAGGAAGAGUAAAUAAAUUACUGUUCUAAGAGAGGAAAAUCCAUAGGCUGUAAGAUUUUCUGUUCAAGUAUUAUUGAAAACCACCUUUGAGUCGAGUAUUGAAUUUUAGUAGAUAUUUCCGCUAUAAGCGUUAAAAGUAAUGAGAUAACAGUAGUGGUAUAUGUUUUACACAUAUAUAAUUUACUAUUGUUAAUUUGGGUGGAAUCGCGAUACUACUCGUCCCAGUU